RNAcentral lists this ribosomal RNA (510 nucleotides) under Triticum aestivum (bread wheat). RNAcentral describes it as "partial small subunit ribosomal RNA". The record is from RNAcentral. Lineage: Eukaryota; Viridiplantae; Streptophyta; Magnoliopsida; Poales; Poaceae.
AUGCAGCUAAGGUGUGCUAGGCGAGUGGCCAAGCUUCGUGACAUUGAGGUCACUACUGGUAUGUCUGUCAAUUUUUCUAAUUCGAUUUUGCAUUUUUCCAAUGACGAGAUUGUUCACAAUGCAAAUCAAUUAGGGGUCUACCUAGGUAGAAAUGGUACUGAAAUCAAUAUAUCCGUUAAUGAUAUUCUCGAUCUCGAAGCGGAGCGCGCUUUGGAGAUGAUUCGUAACAUAGCAGUUGUUAAACCCAUGAAUGAUCAUGAUGCGUUGGGAGUUAGGACUCUUGAUAGUUUGUGUGCGGAUCUGGACCCUGAGUUGCAGGAAAAAGAGGGACUCGAUUCCCCUAUGGCCUCUAGUCAUGUAGAUGUUCCAGAGGCUAAAUCCCCAGAGCCCGGUUGUGAGGACCGGCAGAUGGAGCAGUAUAAGCCUAAGCGGAAGUGGAAACGGAAGGUUUAUCCAGCUUUGGCUGUGCGUAGAAGUGCUAGGAUCCGUACAUCUAAAAAAAAUCCAUGA